GUGAGUUCUUUCCUUGCUUAUAUCUCUAUUUCAGGAUGUUCCUUUGCAAAAGAAUUGGGGAGAGCCAUGUUUCUCCAUGAUAGAUGUGAAACACUUCCAUCUUCGUAUGUGGCUCAGAGAAAGAGAGAAAAAUGCUGCUGCUGCUAAAUGUUAGGAAGGACUACAGCUCAGGGAAAGACCAUGGGCUUCUCACUGCCUGCAACACCACGAGGAGCCUGCUAAGUGAGUGCAGGGGGACAACAAGUGAGCUACUCUGGGAUGAUGCCAUGGGUUCUUCUUCACGGCUGUGGAAUAAGGUUCAGCUGACAAGCAAGGCUGGGGGAGCUGUGGAAGAAAAGUGCCCAGAGGAGAACAAGGGAUACAGUGCAGUCAGCUGGAGGUUUUACUGGAAUACACACACACACACACAGGGUUGAAAGGUGAGAGGCUUUUUAAAACUUCAUUUUUGGGUCAGCUGUUAGAUGCAGGGAAUACACUUUUUUAAUAAUAAAGAAAACAAUCCCAGAAUCA
RNAcentral lists this long non-coding RNA (510 nucleotides) under Cyanistes caeruleus (blue tit). Its description in RNAcentral is "lncRNA (ENSCCEG00000020175.1)". Lineage: Eukaryota; Metazoa; Chordata; Aves; Passeriformes; Paridae. The record is from RNAcentral.